Molecule: ribosomal RNA, 253 nt
Filed under: uncultured bacterium
Lineage: Bacteria
Description: partial 16S ribosomal RNA
Rfam family: Bacterial small subunit ribosomal RNA
Source: RNAcentral
UACGUAGGGGGCAAGCGUUGUCCGGAUUUAUUGGGCGUAAAGAGCGUGUAGGCGGUCAUGUAGGUCCGUUGUGAAAACUCGAGGCUCAACCUCGAGACGCCGAUGGAAACCGUACGGCUAGAGUCCGGAAGAGGAGAGUGGAAUUCCCGGUGUAGCGGUGAAAUGCGCAGAUAUCAGGAGGAACACCGAUGGCGAAGGCAGGUCUCUGGGCCAUAACUGACGCUGAGAAGCGAAAGCAUGGGGAGCGAACAGG